RNAcentral lists this ribosomal RNA (1367 nucleotides) under Mycolicibacterium sp. Its description in RNAcentral is "bacterial SSU rRNA". It matches the Rfam family "Bacterial small subunit ribosomal RNA". Lineage: Bacteria; Bacillati; Actinomycetota; Actinomycetes; Mycobacteriales; Mycobacteriaceae. The record is from RNAcentral.
AGGCCCUUCGCGGGUACUCGAGUGGCGAACGGGUGAGUAACACGUGGGUGAUCUGCCCUGCACUUUGGGAUAAGCCUGGGAAACUGGGUCUAAUACCGAAUACACCUCCUUGGUUGCAUGAUCUUGGGGGGAAAGCUUUUGCGGUGUGGGAUGGGCCCGCGGCCUAUCAGCUUGUUGGUGGGGUGAUGGCCUACCAAGGCGACGACGGGUAGCCGGCCUGAGAGGGUGUCCGGCCACACUGGGACUGAGAUACGGCCCAGACUCCUACGGGAGGCAGCAGUGGGGAAUAUUGCACAAUGGGCGCAAGCCUGAUGCAGCGACGCCGCGUGGGGGAUGACGGCCUUCGGGUUGUAAACCUCUUUCAGCACAGACGAAGCGCAAGUGACGGUAUGUGCAGAAGAAGCACCGGCCAACUACGUGCCAGCAGCCGCGGUAAUACGUAGGGUGCGAGCGUUGUCCGGAAUUACUGGGCGUAAAGAGCUCGUAGGUGGUUUGUCGCGUUGUUCGUGAAAACCGGGGGCUUAACCCUCGGCGUGCGGGCGAUACGGGCAGACUGGAGUACUGCAGGGGAGACUGGAAUUCCUGGUGUAGCGGUGGAAUGCGCAGAUAUCAGGAGGAACACCGGUGGCGAAGGCGGGUCUCUGGGCAGUAACUGACGCUGAGGAGCGAAAGCGUGGGGAGCGAACAGGAUUAGAUACCUGGUAGUCCACGCCGUAAACGGUGGGUACUAGGUGUGGGUUUCCUUCCUUGGGAUCCGUGCCGUAGCUAACGCAUUAAGUACCCCGCCUGGGGAGUACGGCCGCAAGGCUAAAACUCAAAGGAAUUGACGGGGGCCCGCACAAGCGGCGGAGCAUGUGGAUUAAUUCGAUGCAACGCGAAGAACCUUACCUGGGUUUGACAUGCACAGGACGCCGGCAGAGAUGUCGGUUCCCUUGUGGCCUGUGUGCAGGUGGUGCAUGGCUGUCGUCAGCUCGUGUCGUGAGAUGUUGGGUUAAGUCCCGCAACGAGCGCAACCCUUGUCUCAUGUUGCCAGCACGUCAUGGUGGGGACUCGUGAGAGACUGCCGGGGUCAACUCGGAGGAAGGUGGGGAUGACGUCAAGUCAUCAUGCCCCUUAUGUCCAGGGCUUCACACAUGCUACAAUGGCCGGUACAAAGGGCUGCGAUGCCGUGAGGCUUAGCGAAUCCUUUAAAGCCGGUCUCAGUUCGGAUCGGGGUCUGCAACUCGACCCCGUGAAGUCGGAGUCGCUAGUAAUCGCAGAUCAGCAACGCUGCGGUGAAUACGUUCCCGGGCCUUGUACACACCGCCCGUCACGUCAUGAAAGUCGGUAACACCCGAAGCCGGUGGCCUAACCCCUGUGGGAGGGAG